UGUUUGGAGAGUUUGAUCCUGGCUCAGGACGAACGCUGGCGGCGUGCUUAACACAUGCAAGUCGAACGGGAUCUGCGUGGCCUUUGUGGUUGUGUGGUGAGAGUGGCGAACGGGUGAGUAACACGUGAGUAACCUGCCUUUUUCUUUGGGAUAACGCUCAGAAAUGGGUGCUAAUACUGGAUGUUCUGCGCUUUCCGCAUGGGGGGUGUGGGAAAGGGGCCUUUGUGGUUUCUGGAGGGAGAUGGGCUCGCGGCUUAUCAGCUUGUUGGUGGGGUGAUGGCUUACCAAGGCUUUGACGGGUAGCCGGCCUGAGAGGGUGGGCGGUCACAUUGGGACUGAGAUACGGCCCAGACUCCUACGGGAG
RNAcentral lists this ribosomal RNA (364 nucleotides) under Streptococcus mitis. Its description in RNAcentral is "bacterial SSU rRNA". It matches the Rfam family "Bacterial small subunit ribosomal RNA", at positions 1 to 347 of the family's 1533-position model. Lineage: Bacteria; Bacillati; Bacillota; Bacilli; Lactobacillales; Streptococcaceae. The record is from RNAcentral.